This is a transfer RNA of Ovis aries (sheep), 72 nucleotides long. It matches the Rfam family "tRNA". Rfam says of the family: Transfer RNA (tRNA) molecules are approximately 80 nucleotides in length. Their secondary structure includes four short double-helical elements and three loops (D, anti-codon, and T loops). The record is from Rfam. Lineage: Eukaryota; Metazoa; Chordata; Mammalia; Artiodactyla; Bovidae.
UCCACAGUGGCUCAGAUGGUAAAGAAUCUGCCUGCAAUGCAGGAGACCCAGGUUCAAUCCCUGGGUUGGGAA